This 296-nucleotide ribosomal RNA is filed under the name uncultured Coxiella sp. RNAcentral's name for it is "partial 16S ribosomal RNA". It matches the Rfam family "Bacterial small subunit ribosomal RNA", at positions 503 to 799 of the family's 1533-position model. Lineage: Bacteria; Pseudomonadati; Pseudomonadota; Gammaproteobacteria; Legionellales; Coxiellaceae. The record is from RNAcentral.
UGGUGCCAGCAGCCGCGGUAAUACAGAGAGUGCGAGCGUUAAUCGGAAUCACUGGGCGUAAAGCGCGCGUAGGUUGAUAUUUAAGUCGGAUGUGAAAGCCCUGGGCUUAACUUAGGAAUUGCAUCCGAUACUGGAUGUCUCGAGUAUAGUAGAGGGAAGUGGAAUUUCCGGUGUAGCGGUGAAAUGCAUAGAUAUCGGAAAGAACACCAGUGGCGAAGGCGGCUUCCUGGACUAAUACUGACACUGAGGUGCGAAAGCGUGGGGAGCAAACAGGAUUAGAAACCCCAGUAGUCCCG